This 404-nucleotide unclassified non-coding RNA is filed under the name Conoclinium gonzaleziae. RNAcentral describes it as "partial contains external transcribed spacer and 18S ribosomal RNA". The record is from RNAcentral. Lineage: Eukaryota; Viridiplantae; Streptophyta; Magnoliopsida; Asterales; Asteraceae.
UGGUUUGUUAAUGGUGGUUGGCUCAGUUUAACAACUUCCACCAUACAUUCCUGUUCAUUUCUCUGGUUUGGCUAUUUAGAUGCCGUAAACAAUGUGGGUUUCUUGUGUUGCAUACCUUGUGUAGGUUUUGAUCUGGCUUAUCAGACUUCUUUUCAUCUCUUGUCCUGCUACGACACCUGAUGAACCAUAAACGUGUCUCUUUGAACCACAUCAUUAACUGGUGUGUUGAUGUAGUGGAGCAUUGAGCCUUGCCUGGUCUCUUUGAUGUAGUACCUGAUGUGGGCAUGGGUCUCAUGGGAUCCUUGUUAUGUCCCUGUCUAGUGUUUCCGCAUAGUAAAUUGACUGCUUGACACGCUUGGCUAGUACAUCGUGUCAGGCUUUGUCUAUGAGGAAAGUUACCUGGU